AGAGUUUGAUCCUGGCUCAGAAUCAACGCUGGCGGCGUGCCUAACACAUGCAAGUCGCACGAGAAAGUGGAGCAAUCCAUGAGUACAGUGGCGCACGGGUGAGUAACACGUGACUAACCUACCCUCGAGUGGGGAAUAACUUCGGGAAACCGAGGCUAAUACCGCAUAACACUUACGAGUCAAAGCAGCAAUGCGCUUGGGGAGGGGGUCGCGGCAGAUUAGCUAGUUGGUGGGGUAAUGGCCCACCAAGGCGAUGAUCUGUAUCCGGCCUGAGAGGGCGCACGGACACACUGGAACUGAAACACGGUCCAGACUCCUACGGGAGGCAGCAGUGGGGAAUUUUGCGCAAUGGGGGAAACCCUGACGCAGCAACGCCGCGUGGAGGAUGAAAUCCCUUGGGAUGUAAACUCCUUUCGAUCGGGACGAUUAUGACGGUACCGGAAGAAGAAGCCCCGGCUAACUUCGUGCCAGCAGCCGCGGUAAUACGAGGGGGGCGAGCGUUGUUCGGAAUUAUUGGGCGUAAAGGGUGCGUAGGCGGUUUGAUAAGUCUGAUGUGAAAUCUAUGGGCUCAACCCAUAGCCUGCAUUAGAAACUGUCGGGCUUGAGUAUGGGAGAGGUGAGUGGAAUUUCCGGUGUAGCGGUGAAAUGCGUAGAUAUCGGAAGGAACACCUGUGGCGAAAGCGGCUCACUGGACCAUUACUGACGCUGAUGCACGAAAGCUAGGGGAGCAAACAGGAUUAGAUACCCUGGUAGUCCUAGCCCUAAACGAUGGUUGCUUGAUGUGGAGGGUACCCAAUCCUUCCGUGUCGUAGCUAACGCGAUAAGCAAUCCGCCUGGGGAGUACGGUCGCAAGGCUGAACUCAAAGGAAUUGACGGGGCCCGCACAAGCGGUGGAGCAUGUGGUUUAAUUCGACGCAACGCGAAGAACCUUACCUGGGCUCGAAAUGUAGUGG
This 953-nucleotide ribosomal RNA is filed under the name uncultured bacterium. RNAcentral's name for it is "bacterial SSU rRNA". It matches the Rfam family "Bacterial small subunit ribosomal RNA", at positions 8 to 994 of the family's 1533-position model. The record is from RNAcentral.